CUCUCUCAUCCUCUCCAGGUCUCCAGUUUCCUCCGCAUCAAGAUAGUCUUUCUGGGCCUGCAGUUUUGUUACAUCUGGGAAGAAAUCCCUCUGGAUGAUCUUCUCCAAGCUCUAUUAACAAAAUGGCAAAGGUCCUCCAGCGCGUCCAGCUGCUCCUCCGUGAAGAUGGUGCGGUGUCGCCUCGUUCUCCUCUGUGCUUGAACGGGCGAUGCGGUGUCUUCUAUGUGAACCUCUCCUAGCUUGCUCGGAUCCGAGUGAGCUGUUGUUCCGGUCCAUUCAUAGCGACAAGAUGCUGCUGGAAGGGCAGAGGCACACUCUGAUGUCAGGAACGCUGCUGUUUUUAAGGAAGUGCUGCAAAAAUGCGUGAGCAGCAGCAGCAGCAGCAGCAACAACACAAACACGUCUGAUGGACACACGAAGAGCUCCUCAUCUCAUCUUUGACUCCGGCGCCUCCAAAAUUUUCGCAAGUGUCAGGGUAUUUUCUCAGGAUGUCUUCAAUGCUGAAAGGAAACUUUUGUCUCUCCAGUCUCAUGAGAGCGUCCAUGUCCUCAGCCUAUCUCAUCGCUGUGUCUCCCCCUCAUAGAGACCCCUGCAAGGUGUGAGAGGAGGGUAAAUAAAUAGUUGGGAGUAUAAUCCCCUCUCGGACACAUAAAAUGCUAGAAAGUUAAUUCUCGGCUAAUCUGGCCAGUUUUGUGAGGAGGUUAGGCUGUGCAGCAGAUUGGGUUAAUCUCGCCUCGUUCCUUUUCUCCCAGAGAAAUCAGAUUUUGGGCUGCAUAAAAUGAGAUGUGGAUCCUUAUUGUUAGUGUGGGGGGUUUAGAGAGAGAGAGAAAAGGGGAUUGCUUGGUAUUAGGAGGCUGGAUUUAAAGACAGACUAAUAAUGUCACUCAUCUGUUAUAACAAAUCAUGUGUAGAAUAUGUAAGAUGGACAAUGAAGCCAUUACUGUAGCGGUGUUGAAAGUGCAGCCCGGGGGCCAUUUGUGUGCCAUUGCUUGUUUUCUUAUUGGCCUGCAACACAUUCUACCAUUUAUUCAUUUGUGACAUUUAUUUUCUUACAGGCAAUUUGUCGUCUGUCAUAUCAGCUAUUAGUAUCAACAUUUUAACUUUUCUAGUCACAUGAAGCCUUUUGGCUAAAUUUUUUUCCCAAGUUGUUGGGUUUUAGUUUAUUUUAUUUCUGCAAUGAGCCACGUUACACAGAUGCGCCACACUUUGGACACCCCUGCGUGUUUGGCAAACUAGACCGUUUUGGUUUUGCCAGGAAGGCAAGGUGUUGCCAGGCAACAGGAGUGUGUCCAAGCUCUGCAUCCUUGGGUCUAUCGGUUGCAUUGCGGAGGGGUUUAUGCAUCUUUCAGAUUUCUGUACAAUUUCAUUACACUUCAAGUAAGAAACACUUUCUACCUAUAUAUAGAGACCAUGUCUCUCAGUCGUUAACACGGAUCUCUUGUACGUAUGAGGUGUGUUACGAAGCUAAACCGGUGACCACUGGUUCUAGUAAAGUGGGCUAACUUCUAUCUAGAAUCUGGUCAAAGUACCUAAGAGAAGUUCAUCCAAAAACCAGGUUUUGGAUGAACUGACUUAUUUGUAUGCUAACAUUCUUGAGACUGUUUUCUGUGUCCUGUCAUGACAGCUGUCUCUUUUACAAAAUUGGUGACGAGAAGUAACAACCAUUCACACUCACAUUCAUACCUAUGGACAAUUUGGAGUGGCCAAUUAACCUAGCAUGUUUUUGGAAUGUGGGAGGAAACCGGAGUACCCGGAGAAAACCCACGCAUGCACGGGGAGAACAUGCAAACUCCACACAGAGAUGGCCGAGGGUGAGAUUGAACUUGGGUCUCCUAGCUGUGAGGUCUGUGCGCUAACCACUAGAUCACCACGCAGCCCUG
This is a non-coding RNA of Doryrhamphus excisus (bluestripe pipefish), 1880 nucleotides long. Lineage: Eukaryota; Metazoa; Chordata; Actinopteri; Syngnathiformes; Syngnathidae. The record is from RefSeq and is a predicted model, not a curated record.